GACGAACGCUGGCGGCGUGCUUAACACAUGCAAGUCGAACGGAAAGGCCCUGCUUGCAGGGUGCUCGAGUGGCGAACGGGUGAGUAACACGUGGGUGAUCUGCCCCUUACUUUGGGAUAAGCCUGGGAAACUGGGUCUAAUACUGGAUAGGACCAUGCUGUAGGUGGUGUGGUGGAAAGAUUAGUUUCGGUAAGGGAUGAGCUCGCGGCCUAUCAGCUUGUUGGUGGGGUAAUGGCCUACCAAGGCGUCGACGGGUAGCCGGCCUGAGAGGGUGGACGGCCACAUUGGGACUGUGAAACGGCCCAGAGACCUACGGGGGGCAGCAGUGGGGAAUAUUGCACAAUGGGCGCAAGCCUGAUGCAGCGACGCCGCGUGGGGGAUGACGGCCUUCGGGUUGUAAACUCCUUGCAGCCAUGGCGAAGCGCUUGUGGUGACGGUAGUGGUAGAAGAAGCACCGGCUAACUACGUG
This 469-nucleotide ribosomal RNA is filed under the name uncultured bacterium. RNAcentral describes it as "partial 16S ribosomal RNA". It matches the Rfam family "Bacterial small subunit ribosomal RNA", at positions 28 to 507 of the family's 1533-position model. The record is from RNAcentral.